AACGCACGAGACCUGCGGACCUGCGGAAGGAUCAUUAAAGAGAAAACUGCCCUUUGGGUAGAUCUCCCACCCUUUGUUUACCUUACCUUUGUUGCUUUGGCAGGCCCGUCUUCUGACCACCGGCUUUAGCUGGUCCGUGCCUGCCAGAGGACCCCAAACUCUUAAUUUUAAGUUGUCCGAGUCUUAUAAAAUAGUAAAAACUUUCAACAACGGAUCUCU
RNAcentral lists this unclassified non-coding RNA (219 nucleotides) under soil metagenome. Its description in RNAcentral is "partial contains 5.8S ribosomal RNA, internal transcribed spacer 2, and large subunit ribosomal RNA". The record is from RNAcentral.